RNAcentral lists this ribosomal RNA (324 nucleotides) under uncultured eukaryote. RNAcentral's name for it is "partial 18S ribosomal RNA". It matches the Rfam family "Eukaryotic small subunit ribosomal RNA", at positions 1470 to 1796 of the family's 1831-position model. The record is from RNAcentral.
CCCUUAGAUGUUCUGAACCGCACGCGUGUUACACUGAUGCAUUCAACGAGCUUUACCUUGGCCGAGAGGCCUGGGAAAUCUUUUUAGCAUGCAUCGUGAUAGGGAUUGAUUAUUGCAAUUAUUAAUCAUGAAUGAGGAAUUCCUAGUAAACGCAUUUCAUCAAAAUGCAUUGAUUACGUCCCUGCCCUUUGUACACACCGCCCGUCGCACCUACCGAUUGAGUGGUCCGGUGAAGUCUCGAGAUUGUGGCAAUCUCCUUUAUUGGAGUUUGACUGCGAGAACUUGCCUAAACCUUAUCACUUAGAGGAAGGUGAAGUCGUAACA